This 3311-nucleotide long non-coding RNA is filed under the name Pongo abelii (Sumatran orangutan). Its description in RNAcentral is "lincRNA". Lineage: Eukaryota; Metazoa; Chordata; Mammalia; Primates; Hominidae. The record is from RNAcentral.
GUAGUUCCCACUUAGCUAGGUGGACAUGGUACAAAGCCACAUUACCACGCUAAGUGUGGCUUUGAUUUUUAGAAACAACCGCCUCAUGCUAAGUCUAGGGAAUACAGUGGUUGAAUGGGGUGAGUGCUGACCUUUAGCUAUUCUGGAGGAACAUGUCACUUUCACUUAUUUUCUUUCAUGCUUUCCCACACAGUGCUAUGGACUCUGAUCGCCCAACCAGAGCAAACCCAGAAGGACAACUCUCCAAGCCUUUCAAUCACUCCCACUAACCAACCCGUAGUGUGGACACACUAUUGUGAGGCCUACUAAGGAUGUACUGCUGAUGACCUUUUGAAGGCCAGUGGACCUGCUCUGCAGACCCAGGCUCCUCUCCCAUGGAGCAUCCCAGGUCUGCCCUUAUGGGAAGAAGCAGGAGCCCUGUCUGGCUGUACCCCAAGCUGCUUUCUCUGGACCAAUGAUGUCAGCAAUAGAGCAAACAAGCCAAACAGCAGCUUGAAAAAUGCUUUCUACUUGCACAUACCCUCUUGCUGCAGGGAACCCUUCCACCAUCAUGUGAAGAAGCGUGGUCUAGCCUGCUGGAGGAUGAGAGAUCACAUGGAAUGAGGCCAAAACCAUUCCAGCCAAAGCCCCAGUAAUAGAAUUAAGAUCAUCCAAGACCAUGGCAUCCCGCCUGAGAAGUUCAGAUGAGAAGGGCCACCUGAACAACCAACAGAAUCUUAAAAAGUAAAAAAUGAGUGUUACCACUAUGCAUCUAUUAGAAUGGCAGAAAUCGAAGACACUGACAACAGCAAAUGCUGGUGAGGGUGUGGAGCAACAGGAACUCUCACUCACUGAAGAUGGAAAUGCAAAAUAGUGCAGCUACUUUGGAAAACAGUUUGGCUGUUUCUUACAACACUAAACAUGCUAUUAUUAUAUGAUCCAGAAAUUGUGCUCCUUAGCACUUACCCAAAAAAGUUGAAAACUUAUGUACACACAAAAACCUGCACAUGGAUAUUUAUAGCAGUUUUUGAUAUGGUUUGGCUCUGUGUCCCCACAGAAAUCUCAUCUUGUAUUUGUAUAAAUUUAUGGGGUACAAGUGUAAUUUUGUCAACAUGCAUAGACAUGCAUAGACUGCAUAGCUCCCAUAAUUCCCACAUGUUGUGGGAGGGACCUGGUGGGAGGUGAUUGAAUCAUAGGGGCAGGUCUUUCCUGUCCUGUUCUUGUGAUAGUGAGUGGGUCUCACAAGAUCUGAUGGUUUUAAAUAACAGGAAUUUAUCUGCACAAGCUCUUUUAUUUUGCCUGCUGCCAUCCACAUAAUAUGUGACUUGCUCCUCCUUGCCUUCUACCAUGAUUGUGAGGCCUCCCCAGCCAUGUGGAACUGUAAAUUCAGUUAAAUCUCUUUCUUUUGUAAAUUGCCCAGUCUUGGGUAUGUCUUUAUCAGCAGAGUAAAUGUGGACCAAUACAGUAAAUUGGUAAAUUGGUACCAGUAGAGUGGGGUGUUGCUUAAAAUAUCCUCAAAAAUGUGGAAGUAACUUUGGAACUGGGUAACAGGCAGAGGAUGGAACAGUUUGGAGGGCUCAGAAGAAGACAGGAAAAUGUGGGAAAGUUUGGAACUUCCUAGAGACCUGUUGAGUGGCUUUGACAAAAAUGCUGAUAGUGAUAUGAACAAUAAGGACCAGGCUGAGGUGGUCUCAGAGGGAGAUGAGGAACUUGUUGAGAAAUGGAGCAAAGGUGACUCUUGUUAUGCUUUAGAAAAGAGACUGGUGCAUUUUGCCCCUGCCCUAGAGACUUGUGGAACUUUAAACUUGAGAGAGAUGAUUUAGGGUAUCUGGUGGAGGAAAUUUCUAAGCAGUAACGCAUUCAUGAGGUGACUUGGGUGCUGUUAAAGGCACUCAGUUUCAAAAUGGAAACAGAACAUAAAAGUUUGGGAAAUUUGCAGUCUGGCAACGCAAUAGAAAAUAAAAUCCCAUUUUCUGAAGAGAAAUUCAAGCUAGCUGCAGAAAUUUGCCUAAUAACGAGGAGCCAAAUGUUAAUCCCCAAGACAAUGGAGAAAAUGUCUCCAGGGCAUGUCAGAGGUCUUCACAGCAGCCUCUUCCAUCAAAGGCCCAGAGGCCUAGGAGGAAAAAAUGGUUUCCAAAGGCCCAGGGUUCCCAAUCUGUGUGCAGCCUAGGGACUUGGUGCCCUGCCUCUCAGCCGCUCCAGCCAUAGCUUCAGAGGGUGCAAGCCCCAAGCCUUGGCAGCUGCCACAUGGUGUUGAACCUGGGAGUGCACAGAAGUCAAGGAUUGAGGUUUGGGAACCUCCACCUAGGUUUCAGAGGAGGUAUGGAAAUGCCUGGAUGUCCAGUCAAGAGUCUGCUGCUGAGUGGGGCACCCAUGGAAACCCCUGCUAGGCCAGUGUGGAAGGGAAAUGUGGGAUGGAGGCCCCCACACAGAGUCCCCACUGGGGCACUGCCUAGUGGAACUGUGAGAAGAAGGCCACUGUCCUCCAGAUUCAAGAAUCUGGAGGUGGUCCUCCAGAUCCACCAACAACUUGCACCGUGCACCUGGAAAAGUUGAAGACACUCAACGCCAGCCCAUGAAAGCAACCACGAGGGAGGCUGUACCCUGCAAAGCCACAGGAGCAAAGCUAUCCAAAACCAUGGGAACCCACCUCUUACAUCAGCAUGACCUAGAUGUGAGAGAUGGAGUCAAAGGAGAUCAUUUUGGAACUUUAAGAUUCGACUGCCUUGCUGGAUUUUGGACUUGCAUGGGGCCUGUAACCCCUUUGUUUUGGCCAAUUUCUCCCAUUUGGAAUGACUGUAUUUACCCAAUGGCUGUACCCACAUUGUAUCUAGGAAGUAACUAACUUGCUUUUGAUUUUACAGACUCAUAGGUGGAAGGGACUUGCCUUGUCUCACAGGAGACGUUGGACUGUGGACUUUUGAGUUAAUGAUGAAAUGAGUUGAGACUUUGGGGGACUGUUGGGAAGGCAUGAUUGGUUUUGAAAGGUGAAGAUAUGAGAUUUGGGAGGGGCCGGGGUGGAAUGAUAUGGUUUGGCUCUGUGUCCCCACCCAAAUCUCAUCUUGUAGCUCCCAUAAUUCUCACAUGUGGGAGGGACUUGGUAGGAGAUGACUGAAUCAUGGGGAUGGGUCUUUCCCACACUGUUCUCAUGAUAGGGAAUGGGUCUCAUGAGAUCUGAUGGUUUUAAAAAACGGAAGUUUCUCUGUACAAGCUCUUUUGUUUUGCCUGCCACCAUUCACGGAAGAUGUGACUUGCUCCUCCUGCCUUCCACCAUGAUUGUGAGGCCUCCCCAGCCAUGUGGAACUGUAAGUCCAAUUAAACCUUUCUUUUGU